UACGAAGGGGGCUAGCGUUGCUCGGAAUCACUGGGCGUAAAGGGCGUGUAGGCGGGAAGGAAAGUCAGAUGUGAAAGCCCUGGGCUCAACCCAGGAACUGCAUUUGAAACUCCCUUUCUUGAGUGUCGGAGAGGAAAGCGGAAUUCCUGGUGUAGAGGUGAAAUUCGUAGAUAUCAGGAGGAACACCGGUGGCGAAGGCGGCUUUCUGGACGACAACUGACGCUGAGACGCGAAAGCGUGGGGAGCAAACAGG
Molecule: ribosomal RNA, 253 nt
Filed under: uncultured bacterium
Lineage: Bacteria
Description: partial 16S ribosomal RNA
Rfam family: Bacterial small subunit ribosomal RNA
Source: RNAcentral